AUUGAACGCUGGCGGAAUGCUUUACACAUGCAAGUCGAACGGCAGCACGGACUUCGGUCUGGUGGCGAGUGGCGAACGGGUGAGUAAUGUAUCGGAACGUGCCCAGUCGUGGGGGAUAACGUAGUGAAAAUUACGCUAAUACCGCAUACGAUCUAUGGAUGAAAGCGGGGGAACGCAAGACCUCGCGCGAUUGGAGCGGCCGAUAUCAGAUUAGGUAGUUGGUGGGGUAAAGGCCCACCAAGCCAACGAUCUGUAGCUGGUCUGAGAGGACGACCAGCCACACUGGAACUGAGACACGGUCCAGACUCCUACGGGAGGCAGCAGUGGGGAAUUUUGGACAAUGGGCGAAAGCCUGAUCCAGCCAUUCCGCGUGCAGGAUGAGGGCCCUCGGGUUGUAAACUGCUUUUGUACAGAACGAAAAGGUUUCUACUAAUACUAGGAGCUCAUGACGGUACUGUAGGAAUAAGCACCGGCUAACUACGUGCCAGCCGCCGCCGUAA
This 500-nucleotide ribosomal RNA is filed under the name uncultured bacterium. Its description in RNAcentral is "partial 16S ribosomal RNA". It matches the Rfam family "Bacterial small subunit ribosomal RNA", at positions 30 to 523 of the family's 1533-position model. The record is from RNAcentral.